GGGGGUAUACCUCAGUGGUAGAGCGCAUGCUUAGCAUACACGUGUCCUGGGUUCAAUGCCCAGUACGGCCA
RNAcentral lists this transfer RNA (71 nucleotides) under Camelus bactrianus (Bactrian camel). It matches the Rfam family "tRNA". Rfam says of the family: Transfer RNA (tRNA) molecules are approximately 80 nucleotides in length. Their secondary structure includes four short double-helical elements and three loops (D, anti-codon, and T loops). The record is from Rfam by way of RNAcentral. Lineage: Eukaryota; Metazoa; Chordata; Mammalia; Artiodactyla; Camelidae. RNAcentral also lists the same sequence under 1 other name.